UAUAAGAGGUCCUGCCUGCCCAGUGACUAUAUGUUUAACGGCCGCGGUACUUUGACCGUGCGAAGGUAGCGCAAUCACUUGUCUUUUAAAUGAAGACCUGUAUGAAUGGCACGACGAGGGCUUAACUGUCUCCUUUUUCCAGUCAAUGAAAUUGAUCUUCCCGUGCAGAAGCGGGAAUAAUAUCAUAAGACGAGAAGACCCUGUGGAGCUUUAGACACUAAAUCAGCCCUUGUCCAAGAAUCCCAAUUAAAGGAAUGAACACUAGAGUGAGACCUGAUCUAAUGUCUUCGGUUGGGGCGACCUUGGGGAAAGAAAAAUCCCCCAUGCGGAACGGAAAUACCAUAUUUCUAAAACUAAGAGAGACCACUCAAAGUAUCAAAAAUUUUGACCAACUAUAUGAUCCGGCUUAACGCCGAUCAACGGACCAAGUUACCCCAGGGAUAACAGCGCAAUCCUCUUUUAGAGCCCAUAUCGACAAGAGGGUUUACGACCUCGAUGUUGGAUCAGGACAUCCUAAUGGUGCAGCCGCUAUUAAGGGUUCGUUUGUUCAACGAUUAAAGUCCU
This 564-nucleotide ribosomal RNA is filed under the name Amphiprion clarkii (yellowtail clownfish). RNAcentral's name for it is "partial 16S ribosomal RNA". It matches the Rfam family "Bacterial large subunit ribosomal RNA", at positions 1844 to 2597 of the family's 2925-position model. The record is from RNAcentral. Lineage: Eukaryota; Metazoa; Chordata; Actinopteri; Pomacentridae.